This 354-nucleotide long non-coding RNA is filed under the name Musa acuminata (dwarf banana). Its description in RNAcentral is "long non-coding RNA (MACU_LNC004230)". The record is from RNAcentral. Lineage: Eukaryota; Viridiplantae; Streptophyta; Magnoliopsida; Zingiberales; Musaceae.
AGCAUGCAUCUUUUGGAUUUGUCAUUAAAUAAUGUAUGUUUGCAGCCAGCCCAGCUUCUAUCCAUACUUAGCAUUCCUGGAAUAUAAAUUACUAAUGUUUUAUUUGGCCAGAAAGUUAUGCUCGUGUUAGAGUUUUUCUCUGCUGAUUCGGACCGUGGAAUUGACCUAUUAAGUGAUAUAGAUUAAUGUGGAUUUAAUGGACUUGUUCUCACGAAGCAACGUAGAAAAGGUGUUUGAUGGACAUUCAUGAUCUUUUUGGAUGUUGAUUUUUGUUGUUUUUAAUGGUUUUGGACAGUUUGUACGGGACAUCAACCAGUACUAUCAGUCUCAUUUUAUUUUAUUGAUAGGUUUUUU